This 497-nucleotide ribosomal RNA is filed under the name uncultured bacterium. Its description in RNAcentral is "partial 16S ribosomal RNA". It matches the Rfam family "Bacterial small subunit ribosomal RNA", at positions 28 to 507 of the family's 1533-position model. The record is from RNAcentral.
GAUGAACGCUGGCGGCGUGCCUAACACAUGCAAGUCGAGCGAACAGACGAGGAGCUUGCUCUUCUGACGUUAGCGGCGGACGGGUGAGUAACACGUGGAUAACCUACCUAUAAGACUGGGAUAAUUACGGGAAACCGCAGCCACUACUGGAUAAUACAUUGAACCGCAUGGUUCAAUAGUGAAAGACGGCUUUGCUGUUACUUAUAGAUGGAUCCGCGCUGCAUUAGCUAGUUGGUAAGGUAACGGCUUACCAAGGCGACGAUGCGUAGCCGACCUGAGAGGGUGAUCAGCCACACUGGAACUGAGACACGGUCCAGACUCCUACGGGAGGCAGCAGUGGGGAAUAUUGGACAAUGGGCGCAAGCCUGAUGCAGCAAUACCGCGUGGGUGAAGAAGGUCUUCGGGUUGUAAAGCCCUUUUAUUGGGAAAGAAAAGCAGUAGGUUAAAACACCGCUGUUCUGACGGUACCUAAAGAAUAAGCAACGGCUAACUUCGUG